Molecule: ribosomal RNA, 631 nt
Filed under: Gordonia sp. (in: high G+C Gram-positive bacteria)
Lineage: Bacteria; Bacillati; Actinomycetota; Actinomycetes; Mycobacteriales; Gordoniaceae
Description: bacterial SSU rRNA
Rfam family: Bacterial small subunit ribosomal RNA
Source: RNAcentral
GGUUGGGGAUGGGCCCGCGGCCUAUCAGCUUGUUGGUGGGGUAAUGGCCUACCAAGGCGACGACGGGUAGCCGACCUGAGAGGGUGAUCGGCCACACUGGGACUGAGACACGGCCCAGACUCCUACGGGAGGCAGCAGUGGGGAAUAUUGCACAAUGGGCGCAAGCCUGAUGCAGCGACGCCGCGUGAGGGAUGACGGCCUUCGGGUUGUAAACCUCUUUCACCAGGGACGAAGCGUGAGUGACGGUACCUGGAGAAGAAGCACCGGCCAACUACGUGCCAGCAGCCGCGGUAAUACGUAGGGUGCAAGCGUUGUCCGGAAUUACUGGGCGUAAAGAGCUCGUAGGCGGUUUGUCGCGUCGUCUGUGAAAUUCUGCAGCUUAACUGCAGGCGUGCAGGCGAUACGGGCAGACUUGAGUACUACAGGGGAGACUGGAAUUCCUGGUGUAGCGGUGAAAUGCGCAGAUAUCAGGAGGAACACCGGUGGCGAAGGCGGGUCUCUGGGUAGUAACUGACGCUGAGGAGCGAAAGCGUGGGUAGCGAACAGGAUUAGAUACCCUGGUAGUCCACGCCGUAAACGGUGGGUACUAGGUGUGGGUUCCAUUUCACGGGAUCCGUGCCGUAGCUAACGC